GACGAACGCUGGCGGCGUGCUUAACACAUGCAAGUCGAACGGAAAGGCCCUGCUUUUGUGGGGUGCUCGAGUGGCGAACGGGUGAGUAACACGUGAGUAACCUGCCCUUGACUUUGGGAUAACUUCAGGAAACUGGGGCUAAUACCGGAUAGGAGCUCCUGCUGCAUGGUGGGGGUUGGAAAGUUUCGGCGGUUGGGGAUGGACUCGCGGCUUAUCAGCUUGUUGGUGGGGUAGUGGCUUACCAAGGCUUUGACGGGUAGCCGGCCUGAGAGGGUGACCGGCCACAUUGGGACUGAGAUACGGACCAGAAUCCUACGGGAGGCAGCAGUGGGGAAUAUUGCACAAUGGGCGGAAGCAUGAUGCAGCAACGCCGCGUGCGGGAUGACGGCCUUCGGGUUGUAAACCGCUUUCGCCUGUGACGAAGCGUGAGUGACGGUAAUGGGUAAAGAAGCACCGGCUAACUACGUG
RNAcentral lists this ribosomal RNA (468 nucleotides) under uncultured bacterium. RNAcentral describes it as "partial 16S ribosomal RNA". It matches the Rfam family "Bacterial small subunit ribosomal RNA", at positions 28 to 507 of the family's 1533-position model. The record is from RNAcentral.